GAACAUGACAGUUGCUAACGGCAACCGGGCGAAAGUCCAGGGAAAGUGCCACAGAAACGAUACCGCCCCUUUUGGGGUAAGGGUGAAACGAGUGACCCGCAAGGGUUGGGAGUUCUAGCGCGGCGCUUCGGCGCAAGCGUUAACUCUCAAGGUAAGAGCUCACAGCGACGUAUGGUGACAUACGGAGGAGGUAAACCCUGUCUGCUGCAAGGAGAUCUACAACAAACAGUGUCCGCUGGUAGAUCGAUAUCCGCUAGAGCCGCACAGCAAUGUACGGCGUAGAUAGAUGAUCGUCACCGUUUUUACGGGACAGAACCCGGCUUACAAGCUAGCUGCCCAC
RNAcentral lists this RNase P RNA (340 nucleotides) under Candidatus Saccharimonadota bacterium. RNAcentral's name for it is "partial RNase P RNA component class A". It matches the Rfam family "Bacterial RNase P class A", at positions 64 to 367 of the family's 367-position model. From Rfam's summary of the family: Ribonuclease P (RNase P) is a ubiquitous endoribonuclease, found in archaea, bacteria and eukarya as well as chloroplasts and mitochondria. Its best characterised activity is the generation of mature 5'-ends of tRNAs by cleaving the 5'-leader elements of precursor-tRNAs. The record is from RNAcentral. Lineage: Bacteria; Candidatus Saccharimonadota.